RNAcentral lists this ribosomal RNA (1488 nucleotides) under uncultured bacterium. Its description in RNAcentral is "bacterial SSU rRNA". It matches the Rfam family "Bacterial small subunit ribosomal RNA". The record is from RNAcentral.
UAGAUUGAUCCUGGCUAGGGAUGAACGCUGGCGGCGUGCUUAACACAUGCAAGUCGACGGGGUACCCCCAAAGGAGUUUUCGGACAACUGCGGGGAAUACCUAGUGGCGGACGGGUGAGUAACGCGUGAGUAACCUGCCUUGGAGUGGGGAAUAACAGUUGGAAACAAUUGCUAAUACCGCAUGAUAUGUCUGUGUCGCAUGGCACUGGACAUCAAAGAUUUAUCGCUCUGAGAUGGACUCGCGUCUGAUUAGCUAGUUGGCGGGGCAACGGCCCACCAAGGCGACGAUCAGUAGCCGGACUGAGAGGUUGGCCGGCCACAUUGGGACUGAGACACGGCCCAGACUCCUACGGGAGGCAGCAGUGGGGAAUAUUGGGCAAUGGGCGGAAGCCUGACCCAGCAACGCCGCGUGAAGGAAGAAGGCUUUCGGGUUGUAAACUUCUUUUCUCAGGGACGAAGCAAGUGACGGUACCUGAGGAAUAAGCCACGGCUAACUACGUGCCAGCAGCCGCGGUAAUACGUAGGUGGCAAGCGUUAUCCGGAUUUACUGGGUGUAAAGGGCGUGUAGGCGGGAAAGCAAGUCAGAUGUGAAAACCAUGGGCUCAACCUGUGGCCUGCAUUUGAAACUGUUUUUCUUGAGUACUGGAGAGGCAGACGGAAUUCCUAGUGUAGCGGUGAAAUGCGUAGAUAUUAGGAGGAACACCAGUGGCGAAGGCGGUCUGCUGGACAGCAACUGACGCUGAGGCGCGAAAGCGUGGGGAGCAAACAGGAUUAGAUACCCUGGUAGUCCACGCUGUAAACGAUGGAUACUAGGUGUGGGGGGACUGACCCCCUCCGUGCCGCAGUUAACACAAUAAGUAUCCCACCUGGGGAGUACGAUCGCAAGGUUGAAACUCAAAGGAAUUGACGGGGGCCCGCACAAGCGGUGGAGUAUGUGGUUUAAUUCGAAGCAACGCGAAGAACCUUACCCGGGCUCAAACGGCACAGUGAUACUUUUGAAAGGAGGUAGCUCUACGGAGACUGUGCCGAGGUGCUGCAUGGUUGUCGUCAGCUCGUGCCGUGAGGUGUCGGCUUAAGUGCCAUAACGAGCGCAACCCCUAUUGUCAGUUGCCAGCAGGUAAAGCUGGGGACUCUGACGAGACUGCCGGCGCAAGCUGAGAGGAAGGCGGGGAUGACGUCAAAUCAGCACGGCCCUUACGUCCGGGGCGACACACGUGUUACAAUGGCAGGCACAGCGGGAAGCCGCCCGGCGACGGGGAGCGGAACCCGAAAGCCUGUCUCAGUUCGGAUCGGAGUCUGCAACUCGACUCCGUGAAGCUGGAUUCGCUAGUAAUCGCGCAUCAGCCAUGGCGCGGUGAAUACGUUCCCGGGCCUUGUACACACCGCCCGUCAAGCCAUGGAAGCCGGGAGCGCCUGAAGCGCGUGACCGCGAGGAGCGCGCUAAGGUGAUACCGGUGACUGGGGCUAAGUCGUAACAAGGUAACCGUA